Suricata suricatta (meerkat) is the source of this 334-nucleotide long non-coding RNA. RefSeq lists it as uncharacterized. The record is from RefSeq and is a predicted model, not a curated record. NCBI's taxonomy places the organism in Eukaryota, Metazoa, Chordata, Mammalia, Carnivora, Herpestidae. The transcript has 3 exons.
AGACACAGCUGCACCUAAGAGAUCCUUGGGGAAAUCUGACAAAGGGCCGGCAGAAGAAGAGGAAGAUACCACCAAUGACACAAACUAAUCUUAUCUCAAGAUAAUUUCCUUCAAAGAGAAAUCAGGAAGGAAUUUGUUAUGCAGAAUUUAGGAUUCGGCCAGCAGACCCUUAGGAUUCGGCCAGCAGAUCUGGAAGCAUCCAAAGCCUGCUGAGGAAUGACAGUUUUGAAACACCCAGUAUUGAAAGACCCGGUUCUUCUGAGGAAAAAGGGAGUUGGAACACCACUCCGAUAUUCUUUCCCUGUUUCACAUCUCAGCCCCUUCUGUGAUCCAA